AGAGUUUGAUCCUGGCUCAGAUUGAACGCUGGCGGCAGGCCUAACACAUGCAAGUCGAGCGGUAGAGAGAAGCUUGCUUCUCUUGAGAGCGGCGGACGGGUGAGUAAUGCCUAGGAAUCUGCCUGGUAGUGGGGGAUAACGUUCGGAAACGGACGCUAAUACCGCAUACGUCCUACGGGAGAAAGCAGGGGACCUUCGGGCCUUGCGCUAUCAGAUGAGCCUAGGUCGGAUUAGCUAGUUGGUGAGGUAAUGGCUCACCAAGGCGACGAUCCGUAACUGGUCUGAGAGGAUGAUCAGUCACACUGGGACUGAGACACGGUCCAGACUCCUACGGGAGGCAGCAGUGGGGAAUAUUGGACAAUGGGCGAAAGCCUGAUCCAGCCAUGCCGCGUGUGUGAAGAAGGUCUUCGGAUUGUAAAGCACUUUAAGUUGGGAGGAAGGGUACUUACCUAAUAC
This 456-nucleotide ribosomal RNA is filed under the name uncultured bacterium. Its description in RNAcentral is "bacterial SSU rRNA". It matches the Rfam family "Bacterial small subunit ribosomal RNA", at positions 8 to 467 of the family's 1533-position model. The record is from RNAcentral.